Molecule: non-coding RNA, 74 nt
Organism: Picea glauca (white spruce)
Lineage: Eukaryota; Viridiplantae; Streptophyta; Pinopsida; Pinales; Pinaceae
Source: Rfam
GGUGCCGUGGUGUAGUUAGUUAUAACGUUAGUUUAACACACUGAAGGUCUCCGGUUCAAGUCCGGGCGGCUCCA